This 196-nucleotide long non-coding RNA is filed under the name Dromaius novaehollandiae (emu). RNAcentral's name for it is "lncRNA (ENSDNVG00000008919.1)". The record is from RNAcentral. Lineage: Eukaryota; Metazoa; Chordata; Aves; Casuariiformes; Dromaiidae.
ACUCUGUGACUACGACUCCCCAGGGGACCUUAAUUCAAAUAUUUGCGGAGCUGAGCAAGUGGGGCGUCGGGGAGCCGCCGAGUUGGAGUGUCUCUCGACAGGUUGCUCGCAGGACUAGGCGCGAGUCUGGCACCGCGCCGCGGGGACGUCUCGGUGGCGUUUGCAUCGCAUUGCCUUGUUGUGUUUGGUCUGCGAU